AUACCGGCCAGAGACCGAUAGCGCACAAGUAGAGUGAUCGAAAGAUGAAAAGCACUUUGAAAAGAGAGUUAAAAAGUACGUGAAAUUGUUGAAAGGGAAGCGUUUAUGACCAGACUUGGGCUUGGUUAAUCAUCUGGGGUUCUCCCCAGUGCACUUUUCCAGUCCAGGCCAGCAUCAGUUUUCCCCGGGGGAUAAAGACUUCGGGAAUGUGGCUCUCUUCGGGGAGUGUUAUAGCCCGUUGUGUAAUACCCUGGGGGGGACUGAGGUUCGCGCAUCUGCAAGGAUGCUGGCGUAAUGGUCAUCAACGACCCGUCUUGAAACACGGNACC
This 329-nucleotide ribosomal RNA is filed under the name Fusarium verticillioides. Its description in RNAcentral is "LSU rRNA". It matches the Rfam family "Eukaryotic large subunit ribosomal RNA", at positions 320 to 664 of the family's 3401-position model. The record is from RNAcentral. Lineage: Eukaryota; Fungi; Ascomycota; Sordariomycetes; Hypocreales; Nectriaceae.